GACGAACGCUGGCGGCGUGCCUAACACAUGCAAGUCGAACGGAAAGGCCCUGCUUUUGUGGGGUUUUCGAGUGGCGAACGGGUGAGUAACACGUGAGUAACCUGCCCUUUACUUUGGGAUAACUUCAGGAAACUGCGGCUAAUACCGGAUAAGAGCUCCUGCUGCAUGUUGGCGGUUGGAAAAAUUCGGCUGUUGGGGAUAGUCUCGCGGCUUAUCCGCUUGUUUGUGUGGUAGUGGCGUACCAAGGCUUUGACGGGUAGCCGGCAUGAGAGGGUUACCAGGCACAUUGGGACUGAGGUAGGGUCCAGAAGGCAACGGGCGGCAGCGGUGGGGAGUAUUACACAGUGAGGGGAAGCCUGAGGUGGCAACGCCGCGUGCGGGAUGACGGCCUUCGGGUUGUGAACCGCUUUCGCAUGAGAUGAAGCGUGAGUGACGGUAAUAGAUAAAAAAGCAACGGCUAACUACGUG
This 468-nucleotide ribosomal RNA is filed under the name uncultured bacterium. RNAcentral describes it as "partial 16S ribosomal RNA". It matches the Rfam family "Bacterial small subunit ribosomal RNA", at positions 28 to 507 of the family's 1533-position model. The record is from RNAcentral.